This 728-nucleotide ribosomal RNA is filed under the name uncultured marine bacterium. Its description in RNAcentral is "bacterial SSU rRNA". It matches the Rfam family "Bacterial small subunit ribosomal RNA", at positions 97 to 865 of the family's 1533-position model. The record is from RNAcentral.
GGCGCACGGGUGAGUAACACGUGGGAACAUACCUCAUAGUACGGAAUAACUGCGGGAAGCUGUAGCUAAUACCGUAUAUUCCAGAAAUGGGAAAGAUUUAUCGCUAUGAGAUUGGCCCGCGCAAGAUUAGCUUGUUGGUAAGGUAACGGCUUACCAAGGCUCCGAUCUUUAGCUGGUUUGAGAGGAUGAUCAGCCACACUGGGACUGAGACACGGCCCAGACUCCUACGGGAGGCAGCAGUAGGGAAUAUUGGACAAUGGGGGAAACCCUGAUCCAGCAAUGCAGCGUGAGUGACGAAGGCCUUAGGGUUGUAAAACUCUUUCAUCGGUGAGGAUAAUGACAGUAGCCGAAGAAGAAGGACCGGCUAAUUCCGUGCCAGCAGCCGCGGUAAUACGGAAGGUCCUAGCGUUGUUCGGAAUUACUGGGCGUAAAGCGCAUGUAGGCGGAACAAAAAGUUAGAAGUGAAAUCCCUGGGCUCAACCUAGGAAUUGCUUUUAAAACUUUUGUUCUGGAAUUCAGGAGAGGAAAAUGGAAUUUCCAGUGUAGAGGUGAAAUUCGUAGAUAUUGGAAGGAACACCAGUGGCGAAAGCGAUUUUCUGGACUGAUAUUGACGCUGAGAUGCGAAGGCAUGGGUAGCAAACGGGAUUAGAUACCCCGGUAGUCCAUGCAGUAAACGAUGGGUGCUAGUCGUCGGACUUUUGUUCGGUGUCGUAGCUAACGCGUUAAGC